RNAcentral lists this long non-coding RNA (225 nucleotides) under Brachypodium distachyon (stiff brome). RNAcentral describes it as "long non-coding RNA (BDIS_LNC003331)". Lineage: Eukaryota; Viridiplantae; Streptophyta; Magnoliopsida; Poales; Poaceae. The record is from RNAcentral.
GAUCCGUCAACUUGUUUUGUCCGCCACGGUCAGCACGAGUCGAAUCUCUUGAUGGAGCCAGAUCCGUUGGAAAGGUCUUGUAAUUACCUUUCCAACAAGUACUUGUUUGCUUGAUUUGGACUCCGGAUGCGUCCUGGGUGAUUAAAACAAUUUCGGGUCUCCUGGCAGCUCGGACCCGAAUCGGAUUCAAAUUUAAUUCAUGAUAUCUUUCUCUAGCAAGCUCCG